GACGAACGCUGGCGGCGUGCUUAACACAUGCGAGUCGAGCGAGGCCCCUCCUUCGGGAGGGUGUCCUAGCGGCGAACGGGUGAGUAACACGUGGGCAACCUGCCCUCAGCUCUGGGAUAACUCCGGGAAACCGGGGCUAAUACCGGAUACGACCUCCACGGGCAUCUGCGGAGGUGGAAAGUUUUUCGGCUGAGGAUGGGCCCGCGGCCUAUCAGCUAGUUGGUGGGGUAGUGGCCCACCAAGGCGACGACGGGUAGCCGGCCUGAGAGGGCGACCGGCCACACUGGGACCGAGACACGGCCCAGACUCCUACGGGAGGCAGCAGUGGGGAAUAUUGCGCAAUGGGCGAAAGCCUGACGCAGCGACGCCGCGUGAGGGACGAAGGCCUUCGGGUUGUAAACCUCUUUCAGCAGGGACGAAGCGAAAGUGACGGUACCUGCAGAAGAAGCACCGGCCAACUACGUG
This 465-nucleotide ribosomal RNA is filed under the name uncultured bacterium. RNAcentral's name for it is "partial 16S ribosomal RNA". It matches the Rfam family "Bacterial small subunit ribosomal RNA", at positions 28 to 507 of the family's 1533-position model. The record is from RNAcentral.